RNAcentral lists this long non-coding RNA (221 nucleotides) under Lathyrus oleraceus (garden pea). RNAcentral's name for it is "Pisum sativum (pea) long non-coding RNA (PSAT_LNC036103)". Lineage: Eukaryota; Viridiplantae; Streptophyta; Magnoliopsida; Fabales; Fabaceae. The record is from RNAcentral.
UGUUUUGUGUUGUUCGGCGGGCGUAAGCCGAACUACAGUGGCUCUGAUUCUUGUUCCAGACAAGAUAUGUAGGCAUAAGGUGCGAUACCUUACCGAGCCCCUUCUUCUUAACCCCACCUGUGUGAUCCGGUAGCGUGUGUGUGUGAUGUAUGUUUAUAGCAACCUUAUCUUUCUAGAGCGUGGAUCCCGUCGAGUACGACGGACGUGAGGGGUGCUAAUAC